CCAGCUUCUCCCCAAGUGUUUCCCCAUGAGUUUCGCACGAUCCAAUAGUCACGACCAUUCUCGGUUCCAUACCCAACCACAACAACUCCAUGGUUUAGGUUUGUUCCGCACGUUCCAUCAAAAAUUCCCUUCGAAGUUUUAAAAAUGAUAUACAAACAAUUAUAAGAAUAAAGCUUUUAAAACCAAUUUUAAACGAUAUAUUAUAGAAUUUAUUUUAUUUACUGAUUCAUAAAGCUGAAAUUCCCUGCUGCUUGAAUCGAUAACGGCUGUUACAGGCUGGUGAGCAACCGCUUUCAUUAGAGAAAGCUCGUCGUUGGAAGGCAAACUCUCAUACCCAUCAAUCAUAACAUUCUUGUUGUUUUCCUACAACACGAUAUAAAAUUGUUAUUUUUUUUGUUGUUAGAGACAUUUUUCUAUAUGUGUGCGUGUAUCUAUACCGACCUUGAGGGGGUAUGCAGCUCGCAUCGCGAUACCACAUAAUCCUCUUGGAUUUGCAAUGUUGCGAGCCAUCUUCAUGUAGCCAGCUUCUCCCCAAGUGUUUCCCCAUGAGUUUCGCACGAUCCAAUAGUCACGACCAUUCUCGGUUCCAUACCCAACCACAACAACUCCAUGGUUUAGGUUUGUUCCGCACGUUCCAUCAAAAAUUCCCUUCGAAGUUUUAAAAAUGAUAUACAAACAAUUAUAAGAAUAAAGCUUUUAAAACCAAUUUUAAACGAUAUAUUAUAGAAUUUAUUUUAUUUAC
This 742-nucleotide long non-coding RNA is filed under the name Brassica rapa (field mustard). Its description in RNAcentral is "long non-coding RNA (BRAP_LNC001209)". Lineage: Eukaryota; Viridiplantae; Streptophyta; Magnoliopsida; Brassicales; Brassicaceae. The record is from RNAcentral.